Symphalangus syndactylus (siamang) is the source of this 5343-nucleotide RNA transcript. It is a transcript of the gene named RAB40A like, with no coding region annotated. Lineage: Eukaryota; Metazoa; Chordata; Mammalia; Primates; Hylobatidae. The record is from RefSeq and is a predicted model, not a curated record.
GCCUGGGGAGAACCGCAGAGUCUCGCCUUCAGGCGUUUGGACUCAGUGGAGGUUGUGAGUGCCCAGCAGUGUGGCCUGAAUCUCCGUGGGGUUUCGGGAGACGAAAGGACCCCAGAUCGACGUCCCCUCAUUCCCACUUUGGGGAUCGGCGCUCUGGCUGUUUCGUGAAGGAGAGAGAGGUUGAUUCCAUACCCUGGCUAUUGUGAAUAAUGCUGCAGUGAACACGGGAGUACAUACAUCUGUUUGAGGUACUAAUUUCAUUUCCUUUGGAUAUAUACUCAGAAGAGGGACUGCUGGAUCAUUUGAAACUCAGAGUGGUUUUCCAGAUGGGAAUCACAUUGCUCUCUGUCCCUGAGAUCUUGCUGGAGACAGGGCUACUCAGUCCCUCUUUGCCAGCUCUUCAUGUGGAUGUCUAAGCUCAUAUCAGGUGUCUGAAAGAGGCAGAUUCUGAGGAUUUGGGUCAUGAUGGCUGCCAAAGCUUCUACUCCUGACUUAAAGGGCAACAAUCCUAGGAGACCACCAGCACUUACAUCCCUGGUAGGACAUGACACCUGCUUAUGGCUCAGAAGUGACAAAAGAGAAUUAUCAGGAUGGCAGUCCUUAUAACCAGAUGCUUAUCAACGUUCUUCACUACAUUCUGAAGAUGAAUUUCUACAAGGGAAAUUGUUUAUGGAGGCAGCAGAUGGCUGAAAUUCUGAUCCGAUGUGGCUGGUUAAUGCAUGAUCUGAAAACCCCUGCACUGGUGAUUUUGGGACAGAUCUAGAAUAUACAAAUAAAUAUAUUAACAUACCAAGUAGUCUAGGAGCAGCCACUGGGCAAACACCAAACCUUGCAUCCCUGGUGCUGUCUCUGAGCUCAGCAGACACGUCUUUGCAGAAGAGUUCGAUAAUGGUGGUACAAUUUGCGCCCCCUCGUGACAGAAGCUUGAACUACAGCUUGAACGUCGUGUGACCUGGUGAAUGAAUUUAUUGAGCCCCAGGAAGAAGGAAUAUUAAAGAAGAGCAAAGAAUAGUAGCUGGACAGAAGAUGGGGGUCAUUGAACUUAUAUCCUAGUUGCCAGACCAGUAAACUGACCACGGGACCUGGGGGAGGCAGCAGAUGACCGACAACCUGGAGUGAUGUGGCUGAAUACCACAUGAUCCGAAGACUCUGCACUGGUGGCUGCGAUAAAUGCAUGGGGGCAAGAUGGCAGAUAGGAGGCAGGACUAGCUUGUAGCUCCUGCUGAGAUGGACAGAGCAGCAUGUGGAGACUCAUACUGUAAACCUUUGCUCCAAGAAGCACUGCAGGAACAUACCAGGAAAGCUGAGAGAAUCCACAGACCCUUUGAAGAAACUGGAUCACUGUUGCAGGCCCCCUGAGAUGCUGAAAAACUGUGAGUCUGCUUGCUUUGUCAGUGGGGAAGCUGGUGGUCUGGGACAAGUUCUCAGCCCUGGUCACUGGUUGCCCUGAAAUAGACUUGGUACUGUUGUGCGGCACAGUGGGAAUGACACCAGCCGUUAGGGCUGCAGGCUGCAUGGGAGCAGGGUGAGGCCCAUGACUGCUGACUUUCCCGCACUUGCUGGCGAACUGUAUGAUUCAGCAGAAGCAGCCAUAAUCCCCCUGGGAAUAUAACUCCAUUGGACCGGACACCACACCCCCAUCCCCCACAGCAACCACAGCAAGUCACACCCAAGGAGAGGCUGAGCUCAGCCUUGCCUAUCCCUGCCCCUACCUGGUGCUCUUUCUCUACCCACCCUGGUAGCCAAAGACCAAGGUCAUAAUCUCUUGGGAGUUAUAUGGCCCUGCCCACCACCUGAGAAAUCUGAAUACUUAACCAGCUGUCCCUAGGGAAAGUUGGCAUCCUCUCUACAGGACCACAACUGAUGCACUCUUGAAAGCACCACCUCCUAGCUGGAGGCCAACCAACACAAAACUAGUGCACUAAACCAAAAUACAACCAAGGACCCUUACAGAGUCCACUUCACUCCCCUCCUACCUCCACUGGCUGCAAAACCUGAAGAUGGAUCACAUCACAGGACUCUUUGUAGACACUCCCCAGUACCAGCCCAGAGCCCAGUAGCUCCACUGGGUGGCUAGACCCAGAAGAGCAAAAACAGUCAUGACAGUUUGGCUCUCAGGAAGCCCCAUUUAUAGGGGAAGGGGGAGAACACUACAUCAAGGGAGCACCCCAUGGGACAAAAGAAUCUGAACAGCAGCUCUUGAAUUCCAGAUCUUCCCUCUGGUGUAGUCUACCCAAAUGAGAAAGAGCGAGAAAAAAAUUUCUGCUAAUACGACAAAACAAGUUUCUUUAACAGCCCCGAAAGAUUGCACCAGCUCACCGGCAAUGGAUCGAAACCAAGAUGAAAUCUUGGAAUAGCCAGAAAAAGAAUUCAGAAGGUUGAUUAUUAAGCUAAUAAAAGAGGCAGCAGAGAAAGAUGAAGUCCAACUUAAAUAAAUCAAAAACGUGAUGCAGGAUAUGAAAGGAAAAUUAUUCAGUGAAACAGCAUAAAUAAAAAAAAAUUACAAUUUCGAGAAAUCAGGGGCACAUAUAGAGAAAUGCAAAAGGCACUGGAAAGUCUCAGCAAUAGAAUCGAACAAGCAGAAGAAAGAACUUCAGAGCUCAAAGACAAGGCUUUCAAAUUAACCCAAUCCAUCAAAGAUAAAGAAAAAAGAAUUUUAGGCCAGGCGCGGUGGCUCACGCCUGUAAUCCCAGCACUUUGGGAGGCCAAGGCAGGUGGAUCACAAGGUCAGGAGAUCGAGACCAUCCUGGCAAACACGGUGAAACCCUGUCUCUACUAAAAAUACAAAAAAAAAAAAAAUUAGCCGGACAUAGUGGCAGGCACCUACAGUCCCAGCUACUCAGGAGGCUGAGGCAGGAGAAUGGCGUGAGCCCAGGAGGCGGAGCUUGCAGUGAGCCAAGAUCGCACCACUGCACUCUAGCCUGGGCGACAGAGCAAAACUCCGUCUCAAAAAAAAAAAAAAAAAAAAAAAAAAAAAGAAUUAAAAAAAAUGACUAAAGCAUCCAAGAAGUUUGAGACUAUGUUAAAUGUCCAAACCUAAGAAUAAUUAGUGUUCCUAAGGAAGAAGAGAAAUCUAAAAGUUUGGAAAACAUAUUUGAGGGAAUAAUCAAAGAAAACUUCCCUGGCCUUGCUGGAGAUCUGGACAAAUACAAGAAGUUCAAAGAACACCUGGGAAAUUCAUUGCAAAAAAGAUCAUUGCCUAGGCACAUAGUCAUCAAGUUAUCUAAAGUCAAGACAAACGAAAGAAUCUUAAGAGCUAUGAGGCAAAAGCAUCAGGUAAUCUAUAAAGGAAAACCUAUCAGAUUAACAGCAGAUUUCUCAGCAGAAACCCUACAAGCUAGAAUGAAUUCAGGUCCUAUUUUUAGCCUCCUUAAGCAAAACAAUUAUCAGCCACGAAUUUUGUAUCCAGAGAGAAACUAAGCUUCAUAAAUGAAGGAAAGAUGUAGUCUUCCCCAGACAAACAAAUGCUGAGAGAAUUCACUACUACCAAGCCAGCAGUACAAGAACUGCUAAAAAGAGCUCUAAAUAUUAAAAUAAAUCCUCAAAAUAUACCAAAAUAGAAUCUCCGUAAAGCAGAAAUCUCACAGGACCUAUAUGACAGUAACACAAUGCAAAAAAAAAAAAAAAAAAAUAUAUAUAUAUAUAUAUAUAUAUACAGGCAACAAAUAGCGCAAUGAAUAAAAUAGUACCUCACAUCUCAAUACUAACAUUGAAUGUAAAUAGCCUAAAUGCUCCACUUAAAAGAUACAGAAUGGCAGAAUGGAUAAGAAUUCACUAACCUAGUUUCUGCUGUCUUCAGGAGAUUCACGUAACACAUAAGGACUCACAUAAACUUAAGGUAAAGGGAUAGAAAAAUAUAUUCCAUGCAAAUGGACACCAAAAGUGAGCAAGAGUAGCUAUUCUCACAUCAGACAAAACAAACUUUAAGGCAACAGCAGUUAAAAAAGACAGAGGGACAUUAUAUAAUGAUAAAAGGACUAGUCCAACAGGAAAAUAUCACAAUUCUGAAUAUAUAUGCACCUAACACUGGACCUUUCGAUUUAUAAAACAGUUACUACUGGACUUAAGAAAUGAAAUAAACGGCAACACGAUAAAAGUGGGAGACUUUAAUACUUCACUGACAGCACUAGACAGGUCAUCAAGACAGAAAGUCAACAAAGAAACAAUGUACUUAAACUAUACCUUAUAAUAAAUAGACUUAACAGAUAUUUACAGAACAGUCUACCCAACAACUGCAGAAUAUAUAUUCUAUUCAUCAGUACAUGGAACAUUCUCCGAGAUAGACCACAUGAUAGGCCACAAAACAAGUCUCAGUAAAUUUAAGAAAAUCGAAAUUAUAUCGAGUACUCUCUCAGACCACAAUGGAAUAAAAUUGGAAAUCAACUCCAAAAGGAACCUUAAAAACCAUGCAAAUACAUGGAAAUUAAAUAACCUGCUCCUGAAUGAUCGUUGUGUCAGCAAUGAAAUCAAGAUGGAAAUUUAAAAAUUCUUUGAAUUGAAAGGUAAUAGUGACACAACCUAUCAAAACCUCUGGGAUACAGCAAAAGCAGUGCUAACAGGAUAGUUCAUAGCAUUGAAUGCCUACAUCAAAAAGUCUGAAAGAGCACCAAUAGACAAUCUAAGAUCAUACCUCAUGGAACUAGAGAAACAAGAACAAUCUAAACCCAAACCCAGGAGAAGAAAAGAAAUAACGAAGAUCAGAGCAGAACUAAAUGAAAUUGAAACAAACAAAAACAAUACAGAAGAUAAAUGAAACAAAAAGCUGGUUCUUUGAAAAGAUAAAUAAAACUGAUAGACCAUUAGCAAGAUUAACCAAGAAGAGAGAAGGUUCAAAUAAGCUCAAUUAGAAAUGAAAUGAGAGACAUUACAACUGAUACCACAGAAAUACAAAAGAUUAUUCAAGGCUACUAUGAACACCUUUAUGUGCAUAAACUAGAAAACCUACAGGAGAUGGAUAAAUUCCUGGAAAUAUACAACCCUCCUAGAUUAAACCAGGAAAAUAUAGAAUCUCUGAACAGACCAAUAACAAGCAAUGAGAUUGAAAUAGUAAUACAAAGAUUGCCAAUAACUAAAAAAUAAGUUCAGAACCAGACAGAUUCACAGCUGAAUUCUAUCAGACAUUCAAAGAAUUGGUACCAAUCCUAUUGACACUAUUCCAAAAGAUAGAAAAAGAGAGAAUCCUCCCCCAAAUCAUUCUAUGAAGACAGUUUCGCCAUAAUAUCAAAACCAGGGGAGGACAUAACAAAAAAGAAAACUGCAGACCAAUAUCCCUGAUGAACACAGAUGCAAAAAUCCUCAAGAAAAUACUAGUGAACCAAAUUCAACAACAUAUCAAAAAGAAAA